CAGUAGCCGCGGUAAUACAGAGGGUGCGAGCGUUAAUCGGAUUUACUGGGCGUAAAGCGUGCGUAGGCGGCUUCUUAAGUCGGAUGUGAAAUCCCUGAGCUUAACUUAGGAAUUGCAUUCGAUACUGGUUAGCUAGAGUGUGGGAGAGGAUGGUAGAAUUCCAGGUGUAGCGGUGAAAUGCGUAGAGAUCUGGAGGAAUACCGAUGGCGAAGGCAGCCAUCUGGCCUAACACUGACGCUGAGGUACGAAAGCAUGGGGAGCAAACAGGAUUAGAUACCCGGGUAGUCCCUGUCUCUUAUAC
This 301-nucleotide ribosomal RNA is filed under the name uncultured bacterium. RNAcentral's name for it is "partial 16S ribosomal RNA". It matches the Rfam family "Bacterial small subunit ribosomal RNA", at positions 509 to 807 of the family's 1533-position model. The record is from RNAcentral.